This 604-nucleotide long non-coding RNA is filed under the name Homo sapiens (human). RNAcentral's name for it is "HSALNT0407367". The record is from RNAcentral. Lineage: Eukaryota; Metazoa; Chordata; Mammalia; Primates; Hominidae.
GGAACCCGGGAAAAAACAAGAAACCCAUUCCAUCCUCCUUUCCAGGCCUUCGCCCGCCCGAGACCCGCCGUCUCCCGGAGUUGGCCAAGUGGCUGGAAGUCCACCUACAAUGGGCAUGCCGUCCUGGAACAUCUCUCUUCUCUAUCUUGGAUUCGGUUCUAUGUCCCCCUAUGUUAUUGGGGACAGAAUUGUGCCCAGACAAGAAAAUGAUGUUUCCCAGCCUCCCCUGCAGCUGAGUGGGGACAACCAUUGAGAUGCCGUUGCAGGGCUCCGCUUUGGAGCGGGCAUUGGAGGAAUUCUUUGACCACCAAGCAGCCUCCAUACCUCCCUCCUACAUAACAGAGCCACCGAGAGGCUGUUUGCAUUCUGCCUGCUUUCUCUUUUUCCGUUGCAGUAGUUUAUUAAUUAGUGUGCAAAAAAUAAAAAGGAGGUAAUAACCUUAUUUAUGUGCUAGUCCACGUGUUCAGUGUGCUCAUUUUUUCUGCAGCCUGGCAUCGGGAACCGGAACGUUUGGCCCCAGGAGAGGGGGCCGGGACCCUGGGUGCCAGAAUCUUACAGUGCGGAGGCGACAGGCCAACGCAGUUCCUUCCUUUUCCUCCCUCCC